RNAcentral lists this ribosomal RNA (406 nucleotides) under uncultured bacterium. Its description in RNAcentral is "partial 16S ribosomal RNA". It matches the Rfam family "Bacterial small subunit ribosomal RNA", at positions 30 to 526 of the family's 1533-position model. The record is from RNAcentral.
AUUGAACGCUGGCGGCAAGCCUAACACAUGCAAGUCGAACGAGUGGCGGACGGGUGAGUAAUGGCUGGGACCCUGCCUGAUGGAGGGGGAUAACUACUGGAAACGGUAGCUAAUACCGCAUCCCAUCGGAUGUGACCAGAUGGGAGUAGCUAGUGGGUGGGGUACAGGCUCACCUAGGCGACGAUCCCUAGCUGGUCUGAGAGGAUGACCAGCCACACUGGAACUGCGACACGGUCCAGACUCCUACGGGAGGCAGCAGUGGGGAAGAUUGCACAAUGGGCGCAAGCCUGAGACAGCCAUGCCGCGUGUAUGAAGAAGGCCUUCGGGUUGUAAAGUACUUUCAGCGGGGAGGCGUUACCCGCAGAAGAAGCACCGGCUAACUCCGUGCCAGCAGCCGCGGUAAUUC